UCCAAAAAAUGGAGGAAGGUCCCGCCCGUGGCCCUGGUGCACUAAAGUUUAACGGCCGCGGUUAUUUUGACCGUGCAAAGGUAGCGCAAUCACUUGUCUCUUAAAUGGAGACCUGAUAUGAAUGGCAUAACGAGGGCUUAACUGUCUCCCCCUCCUAGUCAGUGAAAUUGAUUUUCCCGUGCAGAAGCGGGAAUAACACCAUAAAACAAGAAGACCCUGUGGAGCUUUAGACAAUAAAUAGCACCUGUAAAGACUUGCCUACACAUAAAAACAAAAGGUACCCCUAUUUUGUAUGUCUUCGGUUGGGGCGACCGCGGGGGACACAAAACCCCCAUGUGGAACAAGAACUUCCUCUUUAAAUCCAGAGCUGCCGCUCUAAGAAGCAGAAUAUCUGACCAAAAUGACCCGGUAAAUUUCCACCGAUCAACGAAACUAGUUACCCCAGGGAUAACAGCGCAAUCCCCUCCCAUAGCCCAUAUCGACGAGGGGGUUUACGACCUCGAUGUUGGAUCAGGACAUCCUAAUGGUGCAGUCGCUAUUAAGGGUUCGUUUGUUCAACGAUUAAAGUCCUACGUGAUCUGAGUUCAGACCAGGGGGAUCUGAGUUCAGACCGGAG
This 616-nucleotide ribosomal RNA is filed under the name Istiblennius dussumieri (streaky rockskipper). RNAcentral describes it as "partial large subunit ribosomal RNA". It matches the Rfam family "Bacterial large subunit ribosomal RNA", at positions 1868 to 2641 of the family's 2925-position model. Lineage: Eukaryota; Metazoa; Chordata; Actinopteri; Blenniiformes; Blenniidae. The record is from RNAcentral.